This 468-nucleotide ribosomal RNA is filed under the name uncultured bacterium. RNAcentral describes it as "partial 16S ribosomal RNA". It matches the Rfam family "Bacterial small subunit ribosomal RNA", at positions 28 to 507 of the family's 1533-position model. The record is from RNAcentral.
GACGAACGCUGGCGGCGUGCUUAACACAUGCAAGUCGAACGAAAAGGCCCUGCUUUUGUGGGGCGCACGAGUGGUGAACGGGUGAGUAACACGUGAGUAACCUGCCCUUGACUUUGGGAUAACUUCAGGAAACUGGGGCUAAUACCGGAUAGGAGCUCCUGCCGCAUGGCGGGGGUUGGAAAGUUUCGGCGGUUGGGGAUGGACUCGCGGCUUACCAGCUUGUUGGUGGGGUAGUGGCUUACCAAGGCUUUGACGGGUAGCCGGCCUGAGAGGGUGACCGGCCACAUUGGGACUGAGAUACGGCCCAGACUCCUACGGGAGGCAGCAGUGGGGAAUAUUGCACAAUGGGCGGAAGCCUGAUGCAGCGACGCCGCGUGCGGGAUGACGGCCUUCGGGUUGUAAACCGCUUUCGCCUGUGACGAAGCGAGAGUGACGGUAACUGGUAAAGAAGCACCGGCUAACUACGUG